RNAcentral lists this long non-coding RNA (490 nucleotides) under Androctonus crassicauda. Lineage: Eukaryota; Metazoa; Arthropoda; Arachnida; Scorpiones; Buthidae. The record is from RNAcentral.
UUUCAAUGUAAUUUUUUAGACAUUACUGUACUAGUGCUCAUAAAGUUUACUAUACAAAUACUAUAAAUUAUUAAAACGUUCUGUAUUUUUGCUGUUUUUCUACUGUCGUCGAUGAUCCAAUGAUCCACAAUGUGAAUUGGUUGAAAAUUAAUUUGUAUGUUUAUGAUCUAGUCUGUGAUGCAAAGCGCCGGAUGGCCGCGUGGUAAAGCUGUGGCUUACCACCCUGGAGGGCCCCAUACCUCCAGUUUCUCGAGGGAUCCGGGCCCGGCUUUGAACCUCAUUCUUCACAGUCUGGCCAAUGAGCCCAACACAGUCCCAUUGGCCAGCCUGUGUUGGCUCUAUAAAUGGCCGCUGUCAGAUACAGAAUAUCUCUCGUGCGAUAUGGCGGCUUAACUAAUCUAACCUAACCUAACCUAUGAUGCAAAGCGUCUCUGUAGUUUUAGGAGCCCCGGACAUCAAAAAUUUCGAGAUUUUUGUGUUUAUAUGUGUG